RNAcentral lists this ribosomal RNA (460 nucleotides) under uncultured bacterium. RNAcentral's name for it is "bacterial SSU rRNA". It matches the Rfam family "Bacterial small subunit ribosomal RNA", at positions 30 to 481 of the family's 1533-position model. The record is from RNAcentral.
AUUGAACGCUGGCGGAAUGCUUUACACAUGCAAGUCGAACGGCAGCACGGGGCAACCUGGUGGCGAGUGGCGAACGGGUGAGUAAUACAUCGGAACGUGCCCAAUCGUGGGGGAUAACGUAGCGAAAGUUACGCUAAUACCGCAUACGAUCUACGGAUGAAAGCGGGGGAUCGCAAGACCUCGCGCGAAUGGAGCGGCCGAUGUCAGAUUAGGUAGUUGGUGGGGUAAAGGCUCACCAAGCCAACGAUCUGUAGCUGGUCUGAGAGGACGACCAGCCACACUGGAACUGAGACACGGUCCAGACUCCUACGGGAGGCAGCAGUGGGGAAUUUUGGGACAAUGGGCGCAAGCCUGAUCCAGCCAUUCCGCGUGCAGGAUGAAGGCCUUCGGUGUAAACUGCUUUGUACGGUACGAAAAAGGUACCUGGUUAAGUAACCUUGGGGCGUCAUGACGGUACCGU